Molecule: long non-coding RNA, 510 nt
Organism: Priapulus caudatus
Lineage: Eukaryota; Metazoa; Priapulida; Priapulimorpha; Priapulimorphida; Priapulidae
Exons: 3
Source: RefSeq, a predicted model, not a curated record
CGCAGCGCCGCAGAAAGGAGAGAGAAGCCGCCAAGCGCAAACGCAUGAUUGCCGACGUGUGCGAUCACAUCAAGUAUAAGCGGAGCGCGCCACGGAAUUCUUCCGAAUACAAUCAGGAUCAACUGGACACUGCCUUCAGUGACCACAGCUACACAGCGGAGCUAAGGUCGCAGGGUCGUAUGAUUGCCUGAUGUUGCAUCUACCACCCAAGAAGCCCUAUAGGAAUCGCUAUCAGCACGCAGCCUAAUCACCGGCAUAAAGGGACACUGCGUUUUCAAGAAUGAUGCUUGGUGUCAAUCAUCUCGUAAACGGAUGUACGUGGCGAGGAGACGGGGAAUCAACGCGUCAAAAGGUUUUCAUGAACGAUUGAGUGAUUAUCGGCCCCAGCCACUUUCCAAGGAACAGCAGACGGUGGGGGUGAGCAAUCGCCCCCAAUCAACACCAGUACGCAGCAGUGUGGGGCGAGCAAUCAUCGCCUGAUCAACACCAGUACGCAGCAGUGUGGGGCGA